Molecule: ribosomal RNA, 253 nt
Filed under: uncultured bacterium
Lineage: Bacteria
Description: partial 16S ribosomal RNA
Rfam family: Bacterial small subunit ribosomal RNA
Source: RNAcentral
UACGGAGGGUGCGAGCGUUGUCCGGAAUCAUUGGGCGUAAAGGGCGCGUAGGUGGCGGGACAAGCGUGCGGUGAAAGCCUGGGGCUCAACCCCGGGUCGGCCGUGCGAACUGUUUUGCUUGAGCACUGUAGAGGCAGGCGGAAUUCCGGGUGUAGCGGUGGAAUGCGUAGAGAUCCGGAAGAACACCGGUGGCGAAGGCGGCCUGCUGGGCAGUAGCUGACACUGAGGCGCGACAGCGUGGGGAGCAAACCGG